GGUAUUUGUUGGCAAUGGUCCAGACUCUAUUGCCUCCCUGCUUGUGGUAACUGCAUACCCAGCAUGUGCUCCCGCUGGGGAA
Sturnus vulgaris (Common starling) is the source of this 82-nucleotide non-coding RNA. The record is from RefSeq and is a predicted model, not a curated record. NCBI's taxonomy places the organism in Eukaryota, Metazoa, Chordata, Aves, Passeriformes, Sturnidae.